ACUCCUACGGGAGGCAGCAGUGGGGAAUAUUGCACAAUGGGCGCAAGCCUGAUGCAGCCAUGCCGCGUGUAUGAAGAAGGCCUUCGGGUUGUAAAGUACUUUCAGCAGUGAGGAAGGUGGAUAUGUUAAUAGCAUACUCAUUUGACGUUAGCUGCAGAAGAAGCACCGGCUAACUCCGUGCCAGCAGCCGCGGUAAUACGGAGGGUGCGAGCGUUAAUCGGAAUUACUGGGCGUAAAGCGCAUGCAGGUGGUUUGUUAAGUCAGAUGUGAAAGCCCGGGGCUCAACCUCGGAAUUGCAUUUGAAACUGGCAAACUAGAGUACUGUAGAGGGGGGUAGAAUUUCAGGUGUAGCGGUGAAAUGCGUAGAGAUCUGAAGGAUACCGGUGGCGAAGGCGGCCCCCUGGACAGAUACUGACACUCAGAUGCGAAAGCGUGGGGAGCAAACAGGAUUAGAUACCCUGGUAGCUCUGC
RNAcentral lists this ribosomal RNA (471 nucleotides) under uncultured bacterium. RNAcentral describes it as "bacterial SSU rRNA". It matches the Rfam family "Bacterial small subunit ribosomal RNA", at positions 335 to 798 of the family's 1533-position model. The record is from RNAcentral.